GAUGAAGAACGUAGCGAAAUGCGAUAAGUAAUGUGAAUUGCAGAAUUCAGUGAAUCAUCGAAUCUUUGAACGCACCUUGCGCCCUUUGGCUAUUCCGAAGGGCAUGCCUGUUUGAGUAUCAUGAACACCUCAACUCCUCAUGGCUUGCCAUGAUGAGCUUGGACUUGGGGGUCUUGCUGGCCUGUGGUCAGCUCCUCUCAAAUGAAUCAGCUUGCCAGUGAUUGGUGGCACCACAGGUGUGAUAAACAUCUACGCUUGUGGUUCCCCACCAUGUAACCUUAGCGAUAGAGGUUCGCUGGAGCUCACAAAUGUCUUUCCUCAGUGAAGACAGCUCUUUGAUUGUUUGAUCUCAAAUCAGGUAGGACUACCCGCUGAACUUAAGCAUAUCAAUAAGCGGAGGA
Molecule: unclassified non-coding RNA, 401 nt
Filed under: soil metagenome
Description: partial contains 5.8S ribosomal RNA, internal transcribed spacer 2, and large subunit ribosomal RNA
Rfam family: 5.8S ribosomal RNA (bases 1-121)
Source: RNAcentral